Molecule: non-coding RNA, 114 nt
Filed under: Paramoeba aestuarina
Lineage: Eukaryota; Discosea; Flabellinia; Dactylopodida; Paramoebidae
Source: RNAcentral
AAAUACAAGGGAGAAAGAAAAAAAAAGAGAAGAUAGGAGAGGGAGGUUUUUUCAUUUCUUUUUGUUUUCUUUUCUUUUUGAAAUCUUUUUGAAUAAAAAAGAGAGAAAUCUUUA